This 465-nucleotide ribosomal RNA is filed under the name uncultured bacterium. RNAcentral's name for it is "partial 16S ribosomal RNA". It matches the Rfam family "Bacterial small subunit ribosomal RNA", at positions 338 to 795 of the family's 1533-position model. The record is from RNAcentral.
CCUACGGGAGGCAGCAGUGGGGAAUAUUGCGCAAUGGGCGAAAGCCUGACGCAGCGACGCCGCGUGAGGGAUGAAGGUCUUCGGAUCGUAAACCUCUGUCAGCAGGGAAGAACGGUCACUGUGCUAAUCAGCAGUGAAUUGACGGUACCUGCAAAGGAAGCACCGGCUAACUCCGUGCCAGCAGCCGCGGUAAUACGGAGGGUGCGAGCGUUAAUCGGAAUUACUGGGCGUAAAGCGCUCGUAGGCGGGAUGUCAAGUCCAGGGUGAAAUCCCCGCGCUCAACGUGGGAACUGCCUUUGAAACUGGCAAACUGGAGUGUGUGAGAGGAUAGUGGAAUUCCAGGUGUAGGAGUGAAAUGCGUAGAUAUCUGGAGGAACAUCAGUGGCGAAGGCGACUAUCUGGCACAUAACUGACGCUGAGGAGCGAAAGCGUGGGUAGCAAACAGGAUUAGAUACCCUGGUAGUC